RNAcentral lists this ribosomal RNA (551 nucleotides) under Bifidobacterium longum subsp. suillum. Its description in RNAcentral is "bacterial SSU rRNA". It matches the Rfam family "Bacterial small subunit ribosomal RNA", at positions 145 to 711 of the family's 1533-position model. The record is from RNAcentral. Lineage: Bacteria; Bacillati; Actinomycetota; Actinomycetes; Bifidobacteriales; Bifidobacteriaceae.
UUCUCCUGGAAACGGGUGGUAAUGCCGGAUGCUCCAGUUGAUCGCAUGGUCUUCUGGGAAAGCUUUCGCGGUAUGGGAUGGGGUCGCGUCCUAUCAGCUUGACGGCGGGGUAACGGCCCACCGUGGCUUCGACGGGUAGCCGGCCUGAGAGGGCGACCGGCCACAUUGGGACUGAGAUACGGCCCAGACUCCUACGGGAGGCAGCAGUGGGGAAUAUUGCACAAUGGGCGCAAGCCUGAUGCAGCGACGCCGCGUGAGGGAUGGAGGCCUUCGGGUUGUAAACCUCUUUUAUCGGGGAGCAAGCGAGAGUGAGUUUACCCGUUGAAUAAGCACCGGCUAACUACGUGCCAGCAGCCGCGGUAAUACGUAGGGUGCAAGCGUUAUCCGGAAUUAUUGGGCGUAAAGGGCUCGUAGGCGGUUCGUCGCGUCCGGUGUGAAAGUCCAUCGCUUAACGGUGGAUCCGCGCCGGGUACGGGCGGGCUUGAGUGCGGUAGGGGAGACUGGAAUUCCCGGUGUAACGGUGGAAUGUGUAGAUAUCGGGAAGAACACCA